This 357-nucleotide long non-coding RNA is filed under the name Cucumis sativus (cucumber). RNAcentral describes it as "long non-coding RNA (CSAT_LNC002224)". Lineage: Eukaryota; Viridiplantae; Streptophyta; Magnoliopsida; Cucurbitales; Cucurbitaceae. The record is from RNAcentral.
GUUGAAUCCAUCAUGAAGGCACUGCACUAAUGCUGUAGGAGGAACGCCAGCAAAGCCAUUCUUGUCACCAAACAUUGAACGCCGUCCACUUAUUGGAUGAUCUAAUAGGUAAGCUGCAACUUCUCUAAAUGCUCCUUCUCCAACUCUGGUUCCUUUCUUUAACCCUUCACCGUCUAAUGACAAUGGAAGCCCCCGUGGAUUGUUUAAGGCCAUUGGCUCCUCAUCAAUUGGCUUAAAAACAGAUACAUACUUCUUUCCCGACCGGUCUAACAUAAGAUAUGCUCCACCGGUUCCCUCCAAAGAGCUAACUGGAAAAUGCCCACAGUCUAAGCCAUCUACAGUAGAGUUCACCAUAUC